GUGCUGGGUAACAGCAGGAACUAGGCUGGAAGUCUAAUUAAGCAUUCCGUAUUACAACGCUUAAAGACACUCACGGGAUCCCGGACUCUCAUGGUGGAGCUGAAGCCAGGAUGAGAAAUACGUUUUCAAAUAAAGCACACGGCCAAUCUA
Molecule: long non-coding RNA, 150 nt
Organism: Suricata suricatta (meerkat)
Lineage: Eukaryota; Metazoa; Chordata; Mammalia; Carnivora; Herpestidae
Exons: 2
Source: RefSeq, a predicted model, not a curated record